UUUCCCACUUACCCUUAAUCUGAUUGACAACAAGGGCCGAAUCACCAUAAACAUCAAGAUGCUUGAUCCUCAUACUCAGCCAUAUUAUUCGUGCAUUUGAAAUUUAACCUUGCUGUAAACGGAAAAUGUGUGCCCUGAGGAGUAAUAAUCACUGCCCCAAUACCAUUUCCAUAUUGAUUUAUAACAUCAUCAAACACCAUGCUCCAUCGGGAACCAGGCUCUGGCCCUUCAUCAAGCGUAGGCUCAUCACAAUCUUUCAUUUUC
This 264-nucleotide long non-coding RNA is filed under the name Lathyrus oleraceus (garden pea). Its description in RNAcentral is "Pisum sativum (pea) long non-coding RNA (PSAT_LNC037804)". The record is from RNAcentral. Lineage: Eukaryota; Viridiplantae; Streptophyta; Magnoliopsida; Fabales; Fabaceae.